Molecule: ribosomal RNA, 474 nt
Filed under: Streptococcus cristatus
Lineage: Bacteria; Bacillati; Bacillota; Bacilli; Lactobacillales; Streptococcaceae
Description: bacterial SSU rRNA
Rfam family: Bacterial small subunit ribosomal RNA
Source: RNAcentral
GACGAACGCUGGCGGCGUGCCUAAUACAUGCAAGUAGAACGCUGAAGGAGGAGCUUGCUCUUCUGGAUGAGUUGCGAACGGGUGAGUAACGCGUAGGUAACCUGCCUGGUAGCGGGGGAUAACUAUUGGAAACGAUAGCUAAUACCGCAUAACAUUGACUAUUGCAUGAUAGUCAAUUGAAAGGUGCAAUUGCACCACUACCAGAUGGACCUGCGUUGUAUUAGCUAGUUGGUGGGGUAACGGCUCACCAAGGCGACGAUACAUAGCCGACCUGAGAGGGUGAUCGGCCACACUGGGACUGAGACACGGCCCAGACUCCUACGGGAGGCAGCAGUAGGGAAUCUUCGGCAAUGGACGGAAGUCUGACCGAGCAACGCCGCGUGAGUGAAGAAGGUUUUCGGAUCGUAAAGCUCUGUUGUAAGAGAAGAACGAGUGUGAGAGUGGAAAGUUCACACUGUGACGUAUCUACCAGAA